Molecule: ribosomal RNA, 445 nt
Filed under: uncultured bacterium
Lineage: Bacteria
Description: partial 16S ribosomal RNA
Rfam family: Bacterial small subunit ribosomal RNA
Source: RNAcentral
UCCAGACUCCUACGGGAGGCAGCAGUAGGGAAUAUUGCUCAAUGGGGGAAACCCUGAUGCAGCGACGCCGCGUGGGUGAAGAAGCGCCUCGGCGCGUAAAGCCCUGUCAGCAGGGAAGAAAAUGACGGUAUCUAACGAAUAAGCACCGGCUAACUCCGUGCCAGCAGCCGCGGUAAUACGGAGGGUGCAAGCGUUACUCGGAAUCACUGGGCGUAAAGAGCGCGUAGGCGGGAUAGCAAGUCAGAUGUGAAAUCCUAUGGCUUAACCAUAGAACUGCAUUUGAAACUGUUAUUCUAGAGUAUGGGAGAGGUAGGUGGAAUUCUUGGUGUAGGGGUAAAAUCCGUAGAGAUCAAGAGGAAUACUCAUUGCGAAGGCGACCUGCUAGAACAUAACUGACGCUGAUGCGCGAAAGCGUGGGGAGCAAACAGGAUUAGAUACCCGUGUA